GAUGAAGAACGUAGCGAAAUGCGAUACUUGGUGUGAAUUGCAGAAUCCCGUGAACCAUCGAGUCUUUGAACGCAAGUUGCGCCCGAAGCCAUUUGGUUGAGGGCACGUCUGCCUGGGUGUCACACACCGUUACCCUCGCGCCAACGUCCAUCGUUGGCCGCGGCGCGGGGCGUGCGCUGACCUCCCGCGAGCGGGGUCUCGUGGUUGGUUGAAAAUCGAGUUCGCGGUCGAGGGUGCCGUGAUGAAAUGGUGGAUGGGCGACGCCCGAGGCCAAUCACGCGCGACUCUGUCCGGCUCGGACUCCUGGACCCCUUCGGCGUCUCCGGACGCUCUUUGGCGAGACCUCAGGUCAGGCGGGGCUACCCGCUGAGUUUAAGCAUAUCAAUAAGCGGAGGA
This 396-nucleotide unclassified non-coding RNA is filed under the name soil metagenome. Its description in RNAcentral is "partial contains 5.8S ribosomal RNA, internal transcribed spacer 2, and large subunit ribosomal RNA". The stretch from base 1 to 122 matches the Rfam family "5.8S ribosomal RNA", at positions 35 to 154 of the family's 154-position model. The record is from RNAcentral.